CACGCCCUAAACGAUGUCAACUAGUUGUCGGGUCUUCAUUGACUUGGUAACGUAGCUAACGCGUGAAGUUGACCGCCUGGGGAGUACGGUCGCAAGAUUAAAACUCAAAGGAAUUGACGGGGACCCGCACAAGCGGUGGAUGAUGUGGAUUAAUUCGAUGCAACGCGAAAAACCUUACCUACCCUUGACAUGUAUGGAAUCCUGCUGAGAGGUGGGAGUGCCCGAAAGGGAGCCAUAACACAGGUGC
RNAcentral lists this ribosomal RNA (247 nucleotides) under uncultured bacterium. Its description in RNAcentral is "partial 16S ribosomal RNA". It matches the Rfam family "Bacterial small subunit ribosomal RNA", at positions 796 to 1041 of the family's 1533-position model. The record is from RNAcentral. RNAcentral also lists the same sequence under 1 other name.